AGGAUGAACGCUGGCGGCGUGCCUAAUACAUGCAAGUCGAGCGAACAGAUAAGGAGCUUGCUCCUUUGACGUUAGCGGCGGACGGGUGAGUAACACGUGGGUAACCUACCUAUAAGACUGGAAUAACUCCGGGAAACCGGGGCUAAUGCCGGAUAAUAUUUAGAACCGCAUGGUUCUAAAGUGAAAGAUGGUUUUGCUAUCACUUAUAGAUGGACCCGCGCCGUAUUAGCUAGUUGGUGGGGUAAUGGCUUACCAAGGCAACGAUACGUAGCCGACCUGAGAGGGUGAUCGGCCACACUGGAACUGAGACACGGUCCAGACUCCUACGGGAGGCAGCAGUAGGGAAUCUUCCGCAAUGGGCGAAAGCCUGACGGAGCAACGCCGCGUGAGUGAUGAAGGUCUUCGGAUCGUAAAACUCUGUUAUUAGGGAAGAACAAAUGUGUAAGUAACUGUGCACGUCUUGACGGUACCUAAUCAGAAAGCCACGGCUAACUACGUGCCAGCAGCCGCGGUAAUAC
This 518-nucleotide ribosomal RNA is filed under the name uncultured bacterium. RNAcentral describes it as "bacterial SSU rRNA". It matches the Rfam family "Bacterial small subunit ribosomal RNA", at positions 26 to 526 of the family's 1533-position model. The record is from RNAcentral.